UACGUAGGGUGCAAGCGUUGUCCGGAUUUAUUGGGCGUAAAGAGUUCGUAGGCUUCUUAGUAAGUUAUGUUUCAAAGACCGGGGCUUAACCUCGGAAAGGGGCACAAUACUGCUAGGAUUGAAGAAUGUCGGGGUUACUGGAAUUGUCGGUGUAGGGGUGAAAUCCGUUGAUAUCGACAAGAACACCAAGGGCGAAGGCGGGUAACUAGGCAUUUCUUGACGCUGAGGAACGAAAGCUAGGGUAGCGAAAGGGAUUAGAUACCCCAGUA
Molecule: ribosomal RNA, 269 nt
Filed under: uncultured prokaryote
Description: partial 16S ribosomal RNA
Rfam family: Bacterial small subunit ribosomal RNA
Source: RNAcentral